CCUACGGGUGGCAGCAGUGAGGAAUAUUGGUCAAUGGGCGCGAGCCUGAACCAGCCAAGUAGCGUGAAGGAUGACUGCCCUACGGGUUGUAAACUUCUUUUAUAAAGGAAUAAAGUGAGGCACGUGUGCCUUUUUAUAUGUACUCUAUGAAUAAGGAUCGACUAACUGCGUUCCAGCAGCCGCGGUAAUACGGAGGAUCCGAGCGUUAUACGGAUUUAUUGGGUUUAAAGGGAGCGUAGAUGGGUUGGUAAGUCAGUUGUGAAAGUUUGCGGCUCAACCGUAAAAUUGCAAUUGAUACUGGCAGACUUGAGUACAGGUGAGGUAGGCGGAAUUCGUGGUGUAGCAGUGAAAUGCUUAGAUAUCACGAAGAACACCGAUGGCGAAGGCAGGCUACUAGACUGCCACUGACAUUGAUGCUCGAAAGUGUGGGUAUCAAACAGGAUUAGAUACCCGUGUAGUC
RNAcentral lists this ribosomal RNA (460 nucleotides) under uncultured bacterium. Its description in RNAcentral is "partial 16S ribosomal RNA". It matches the Rfam family "Bacterial small subunit ribosomal RNA", at positions 338 to 795 of the family's 1533-position model. The record is from RNAcentral.